AUGCACCUGACGAGUCUCAAAUAGAACGAAACAUGCGUCCUGUAU
This 45-nucleotide non-coding RNA is filed under the name Schistosoma margrebowiei. Lineage: Eukaryota; Metazoa; Platyhelminthes; Trematoda; Strigeidida; Schistosomatidae. The record is from RNAcentral.